AACGAACGCUGGCGGCAUGCCUAACACAUGCAAGUCGAACGAGACCUUCGGGUCUAGUGGCGCACGGGUUCGUCACGCGUGGGAACCUGCCCUUAGGUUCGGAAUAACUCCCCGAAAGGGGUGCUAAUACCGGAUAAUGUCUUCGGACCAAAGAUUUAUCGCCUUUGGAUGGUCCCGCGUUGGAUUAGCUAGUUGGUAGGGUAAAAGCCUACCAAGGCGACGAUACAUAGCUGGUCUGAGAGGAUGAUCAGCCACACUGGGACUGAGACACGGCCCAGACUCCUACGGGAGGCAGCAGUGGGGAAUAUUGGACAAUGGGCGAAAGCCUGAUCCAGCAAUGCCGCGUGAGUGAUGAAGGCCUUAGGGUUGUAAAGCUCUUUUAACCGGGAUGAUAAUGACGGUACCGGGAGAAUAAGCUACGGCUAACUCCGUG
RNAcentral lists this ribosomal RNA (433 nucleotides) under uncultured bacterium. Its description in RNAcentral is "partial 16S ribosomal RNA". It matches the Rfam family "Bacterial small subunit ribosomal RNA", at positions 29 to 507 of the family's 1533-position model. The record is from RNAcentral.